UGCACACCUUUGUUAGGCGAAACGCCCGUCCCGUUGACCGCGGCUACGUUCGGCGACUGAUUGAUAGUCGCCUUGAGCCCAAGUUUAUUAUCACAAAUCGCAAACAAGUACAAUUGGGCAGGAUGACGGCAAAUUGUUUAAUUACGACUGUAAACUUUAAUUACGAUUUUACGGAUUUUCCCGAAUUUCCAGAGGGACGGCUCCGGUGUCCUUUCAUCUCCGACACGUAUAUCCAGUGCAAUGGUAGAGAAUCGAAGUCAACGAUAGUAAAAGUUUGAACGGUGAAAACGAUUGUGUUGAUCGACACGAAAAAAGGUACGAAAGGCAAAUCAUUCUGUUUUGAAAGCAAAGUCAAUCGCGCUUGGCAGCUAACCGGCUCGCGUGGGUGUUAAUUACUCUGUUAAAACCGACUCGCGUUAGUGGGUGUAUUACACGAGAUCGUGAACAUGAAACAUAGACGGAUAUGAACGAGUAUCGGUUGGCUAACUUAUACUACGCGUAAGGUACGCUGAUAGAUACAGUUUUCGUGAUUUUUUCCCAAGUUGAUACGAAACCUCCCGCGUCUCUCGAUUCAACCUGUCGGCUAUAUACCGAGUAAUAUGUACAUAGUUUCAAGCGGCCGUCACCCGUGGUACAUGUUGCAAAACGGAAAUCUACGUCGAUUCGAUCGUAAAUCUUUCGCGAAUAUGAAAUCUCCGUACGUUUGUUUAUGGUUUGACGUGGAGAUCUACUGCUAUAUGUAACGUGACCUGCACACGCUACUGUGCGGUUAAUCAUGUAUUUGCAGAGUGCAAUAAAGAUUUGUUACACUGGCUUCGACGAAAUCGUACCACGAUCUGCAAAUAACAUCUUAAUUCAAACGAUCAGUACAGCGACAUAAAGAUAAACGAAAUUUCCGAUAAUAACAGACAACCGAAAAGAAAAACAGUCCGUCGAUAGAACAAUUAAUUAAAUCCACACGCUACCCAGGCUGUUGUUGAAGCGGACACUUAUUAACUGCAAACUACGCUCGUCGUAAAAUCUGCAUAAUAACACGGUAGAUUUAAAUGCCCCUUCGUUGAAGCGCGGUUUGCCUUCGAACUUGCAACAUUAACAGUGGUUUUAAACGACGACAGUUUGUCAACGAAAUUGUUAAUAUCGAAAAAUCAGACAGAUUACGUGAGUUAUACGGAUUCGUGGUGGAGAUCUAUCCGUUUAGAGGCUGGCACAAUUUCCUACCGGCAACAAACGAGAACGCUAUUGAUUUCUAGAGGAGCAGAGCACGAGACGAGAUAGCCUCCGGUGUGCAUCCUACCGUACGACCCAACCAACCUGCAGGCUGGCUACCGUACGGGGAUGAUUCACGGUCAAGGACGUCGUAGCAACCCCUCCAGCUUUUCUCUGGCGCAACCCUCGCCUUCAUCCACCAACGCCGGGUAAUCCCUGUGUAACGCUUCACGGUACGGUUAACAACUCUAUCCUCUUGCCUCUGUGCUAUCGCCGCUUCCAUCUUCUCGAAACUCCACCUCUUUCGCGUACGUACGCCGGUAACGCGUAUAUACGCACCGUACGAAUCGAGAGAUCUGAAUUUAUAAAUUGAGAUAAUAAAAUGAUGAAAAAUAUAUAUAUGGAAAUACAGGUUUUUAUAUCGCGGUGAAUUUACAAAAGUAUAUUUAAAGUUUUAUCUGUUCGUAGUUUUAUCGAAGUUUCGUUUUGAUAGAAAGGAAGGAAACAAAAUGUACGUGUCGCAGCUGAGAAAGGUGGAUUAGCAUAACGGUGAACGUUGACGUUGCCUCGAACGAGAAGAAACGAGAAUUUAUGCCACGUUUCCAGCACAGAUUCACGAGGACAAUAAUUCGACGGCACGGCGAGUCCAAAGACGGGUCCAUUCGCUCGAGGACACAGAAAUCGAGAGAGAAAUAGGCAGCACUUUACGCAAGCCAGUACUUUCCACAUAAUUCUCGUCGGAGAUCGACCAGGGACAACCGGAGGAUAAUAUAUCGUCAAAAGGGAUUGGUCGUAUGUUAACCAGCGUUACACCUGCGAGCCGAUGAAGAAACUCCAUGGCCAGCCACCUACGCGCGCUGCCUCGUCCGGGUCUUUUACCAUCUGACCGACGAAUUAGGUAGAUAAAGAUUCACACGGGCUUCGCUGUAUGCUUCUACCUGUUUCCCCGACUCGUUCUUCUGCUUGUUUCGUUUAUAACUUUAGAUAAACUGUUGUCAUCAUCGCUGUAUCAGAUUGCGUUUUGCAUUUUACCAAGUUGAUAUUUAGAAUUUUUUAUUACUGUAAACGUAAAUGUUCGUGUAAAUAUCCGUGUAUUUGGUUAUUUAAUUAUAACUAUGUACCAUGUUUAUACAAACGAAGACCACAGAGGAAGAACAUAAUAAACUAUAUUUUCCAUUCUUUAAAGGCUAACAGGUUUAAAAGUCAGUACGUUAUCAUAAUUGUUCUUGGUAUGUAAUUUUCAGACUAAAUAUAUAUUUCAGCAUCCUCUUCGUAAUUUAACAAAUAUUGCUUGUCAUAACGUGAAAACAUUGAAAGAUAUUCAAACAUUGAAAGUAUUAAAACACCAAAAAGUAUUGUUUAUCUCAACAAUUGUAUCCUUGAUCGAACAUAGCUUCUUUCCAGUUUUAACUAUUUUAUAUGAAAAUAUUCUUGUUUAGCCGUAAAGUGAUAUCAAAAUAAAAAGGUCAACAAAACUGUAUUUAUCAUGCUCUUUUCCUACGAUCUUCAAAUGUUUGCUAUCGAAUACGCGUAUUUAUAUUUAUAGAUACCGUGUAGGAAAUCGUUCGUGCAAACACCGUGCACCACCUCUAACCUAAAUUUCGUGGUGGGUUUUUCACCGGCUCCGCCUCAUUUCACGCGGGUCAAACGUAUCAUUCGAUCCUUUCUUCCGUCAAGACGUUGUUCAGUUCAUUAGACCAUUAGUCUAACAAUGCAGAGUGUGUCCUUUAUGUGGCGUUUACAUUUGAAACGUAAUAGCCACGUAGCUCUAGCGUGAACUACGAACGCGAACCAGGCUACAAUUUGCAUGGCAUAUCUUUCUCUCUCUUCCCGCGAUGCGUACUGUCUUUGUACACGCAGGUGACAAUUCACCGCGUGUGUAUCAUCGUGCGAGAUUUAUCCUCGCGCGCGAUUAGCAUAAUGGUUGAUCAUUACGACGCCGUUGUCCAAUUUCCGUGGGCGUACAUUCGAAAUUGCACCAGCUACGGGCCAAAGGACAAAAGAUCGAGCUGAUAUUUGCUGCAGAUCGAAACUACGAUCGAGUAACGCUCCUUAUAAAUCUUGUAUAAAGCAUAUCCUGUUAACUCUACUUCGUUCUUUCCAGCCAAUCGUAUAUCUUUAACGUUGGAAAAAUAUCUCUAGUUCGAGCAAAGUACGAUAGAAUUAUUAUUGAUGCAUGAUUCUUCACUUCAAUCUUAUGUUAAACAUUUUUCGAAAAUUUUUAUUAAAAGUCUUUUCAGUUUGAGAGAUCAAAGGAAGAUUGAAAUAUACAAAUUUAACGAUCGCAGCAGGAUUAAUAUCAAAAGAACCAACGAGUCUUCUUUGUGCUGAAAUAGACAGAAAACGGGAGGAUUUAGAAAAAAAAAGAAAGAAACGUCUAAUUUAAAGAAAACAAAUCUCUACUUGUAUUUUCACAAUCUCGAAUUCAAGUUUUAAAAUCACAUCCCUAUCUCGAAGGAAGUACAUACCAGAAUUGUAAGUUCCUAUAAUUUCAAUAAAGAGCGACAAAUCGUUCUGAUCCUUUUUAUUUUGCUCUUGAAGCCGGUUCUCGCGUUAAACCCACUAUCAAAUUUCCACAAACUACCUUGAUACAAUCACAUCUUUAUAUAGUCAGACACGAUCCAGUUUCAACAUCCUGUCCAUAGCCGCGAACAUACCUACAAUUUACCGUAGUCUACCGAACGGGGGUCGUUAAGUCGUUAAUCGGCGGCCAUUACGAUCGUCGUCUUUGUUAUCGUCUUCGUCCUUCACAACGCGUCAACGAUUGGCUACCGAGAUCAGCACCGAUACAGGGCUCGGUCUCAUCGAAUCCACACUCGAAUGGAAACAACGAUCGUCCUGUAUUGCCUGGAAACCCAACGAUCGGCAUACCCGUGGGGGAACUGCAAAGACCAACAGAUAUGGUCGAAGCAGGUCUCGAUAUCGGUCUAUGAGUAUAGGUAAAUGAUCAAGUGGAUGACUACAGGCGUUUGAUUAACCGCGGUAGCCGAGAAAUGACCAACCAGCUACCAGGUCAUCGCGUCGUUCGCGCAAUUACAUCAAAUGGAUUUCCUAAUUGCGAUGCCGCGCUGCACCGCGAGAGAUUGAUCAUGUUCGACCGUGCCGCACAAACGGAACGCGUACGAUUCUGAUUCACCAGAAUGCGUCUUUUGUUUCACUACGUAAGUCUGCGACCGUUAAAGAAGACAUUGUAUCAUUUUGGUCUGAUUCAAUCCGAGUUCGGUAUACAUUUAUCGAUACAAUGUGAAUACGUUUCUAGCUUCUAUUGUCUAUAAAUGAAAAUACAGAGCUCGAUGAUCGAAGAUGAUAUCGGAAUGGAUAACGAGUACUACUCGAUACUGGAUAUACGUUACUCAAUUCGAUACAGACGAGACUCUAGAGGAUAGAUCGUCGAAUUUCUAUCGGAAUGCGCGAUUUGGUCACGUGCGUGAGGUAAUGAAUUCGGCAGAAUUUUGCGAAGCAACGCGAGUAAAAAACACGGAAACUGAAAAAAAAGAAAAGUAACGUACGUUCACAUACCCAUUAUUCUCAAUGUAUGUUUCUCGAUUCGCAUGGUCUAGGAGAAGAAUCAUUGAAUAUCUUUGGACGAACUAAAUUCGCGUGUCCUAAACGAACGAAUCACAAGAAUAGACUUUCGCGAACGCAGACACAGCAGCGUCCGAGGAGUGCGUUGGAACGUACGGGAAACAAGAAAACUCGCCACGAACGACAAGACGUGUAAUCGUCUUCAGAUCGGAGCCGGAGUAUAAUCUUAUCGUGGCGAUAGCGCGUACUUUAAUCCUCGCUUAUUCUAUUUCUGUACAGUGACUGCUCCCGCGUGUCGGUGGAAGCGAGAUGGCCUGGCAAGCACGAUGGAAAAGGGUGAAAAGGGUGGAAGGGGAGGGAAGAUUGCAGGGGCUGCGUCAGGGAGCUCACCGAAAGGCCUUGGAUCUGCAUAGCAAAUUGGCGAUCGAUAUACGGUCACCGUACGGCGAAUCGCGCGAGCCUCGAAUUAAAGCUUAUAACUUUCAUGUCCGGCGCAAUGUAUCAUUAUGCGCAGGGCGGCCCUGGUCUUGAUGCAGCUGCCCGCAUGCGGCGCGCAAACGCUGCACCGCCAGCAACCGGCGGGCGCGAAUAUGUGCAUAAAGCACGAUAAAUCGUCCGCAUAGAUACGGAUCGACGAAUGACAAGUCGCCCGAUGGGCGGCGCUCCGCGAUCCUUUUUACACCGUGGCGACCUCUCGAGAAGAUCGGUCCUCGAAGAAAUUGCGCAAUUGUCAGGAAACAGCGAGCGACACGUUUCUCUAACCUAGCUAAGACCCACGAGGGAGACGAAGAGGCGAGGAGGCCCACUUCGAGCGGACAAUUAGACCAUUAGAUCGAUGGAAUAUACCUAUGCUAUACAAUCGUGUUGUGCACGCCUGUCGCACGGAUCAACUAUGCACAUUGCAGUAACGUGGCGCACAAAAAACACUGUCGCGCAUAUGUUCCCCGGCGUAAACUGUAAUAAUAGCUCUUCGUUGGUAUUAAUGAUCAACGAGUUCGCGCAAGUUAGCUUGUAUUGAAUUGUGAAUUGAAAAAAAAAAAGAAAAAAAAAUAAACAGGGUUCGAGAGCGGUUUACGAAGUCGACGAGCAAAAACAAUAUUUUCUCGCAGCGGCACUACCGCCGUUCGAGGAACCACCUGGAAAGGAGCACUCGAGAAGGAUCGACAAGGAACGUUCUUGUUGUUCGGCGUGUUUGCAAACGAAACCGGACAGCCGUGACACCUGACACCUGGUAUACCGUCUCGCUUUUUCACCCGCCGAAAGAGAAACGCUGGACUUCGUCGCUUAUCGGUGUACACAGGUCCGAUUAAGACAAUAGAGCCUACGGUUCGCACGAUUUGCGUUCCAUUGGCCGCAGCACGCGUGAAUAAACUUUGAUUACACUCCAAGUCGAUGAAUACGUCACCAUCGGCGAUUUUCUUUCACGUGAUGGGCUUUAAUGCGAUUACUAACGUCAAUCGUAGAAAUGAGUAGAUAUAUUUCUUAUCCUAGACUGUAUGUUAUAUGCGUGAAUCAGUUACUGAGUGAAUUCAAUCUACCCGAUGUAAUAUCGAACGUAGAAAAGAUAAAAUAGUAUCGUUGGUGCGAUAAAAUCGGAAUAGAGAUGUUAUACAUUUGUGUAUUAUAUAUAGAAGAGCAUGGAAUAAUUCUUUUACGCACGUGAAAUUCUUAAACAAGGCAAUAUUUAGCGAAAUGCUCGCACGUUGGCAACAUCGACACAAAGGAUUAGCACGCGCGCGUCACGCUUAGCACGCGCAUCAGAGUCACGAGCCGUGAAGGGACACGCGUAAAAGAGAUUGGUCGUAGCAGAUCGUUCUACGUGGCUGGGCUAACGCGCGUGUUCGCUCCACUUCCGAUAUUAAGCCACCCUCGCACGUGACGCUGCUACCUACGCCCGAAGAUGGUUAACCCGCGACAAAAAAACUUUUUCAUCGACACGUACACGCAUGCACGAGUGCACAAGUGUAAACAGGCUAGCGGUGGAAAAAAGGCAAGCAAACGAACGAACGAACGAAAGAUCCACGGUUCCAUGACCACGUGAAACUUCCACGAGAGAGAAAAAAAAAAAAUACAUAGUCACCUCGGAACGUGAGUCGCGAGAAGUUUUGAUCUGUCGAUGAUAAAAUUAAACGAGCUUAUAAAUUCGUUGCGACGUUAUAGGACGGAAAAGGUCGUGCGUGAAAAGAGAUGUUCACGCGCGUCUGCCGUAAUACGCGCAUCCGCUCUACUUCCGACGCUUAGCGCCGCGACGCUUCAACGAGCUCGACGCGUGGCAUUAAACCGCCCUCGCACGUGACGAUGAGAGGAGAGUUGUGUGACACGGAUUAUAAAUGUGCCCGACAUUGUCGUCGAGGGUGAGAAAAAGCGGCUUUGAUAUCAAUUAUUGGUUAUCGUAUCGCUUCCACAACGUUUUUUACGUGAAAUUUAUUCUCCUUGGAUCGUUACUUUACUGGUGUUCGAUAUACCCAUAAAGGAUAGCGAAAAACAACGCUGGAAAUGAUUUCACGAACAACAAGUGAGGUUACACACAAAAGUUUGGCGAAAACCUGAACGCAUACAUUGAACUUUCUUGACAGCGUGAAACGAACGUUCUUGUGGCGGUACGAGCAUAGACACCUGAGGAUUCGUGUUGUAUCCUGCCGAAAAAGUGUGUAACUCGAUCCGGCAAAAAGAGCUGUCGUCGACUAUCCAUUGCCUCAUAAACCGAGACCAAACGAUAUCUCGCGAUUGAUCGCGACGUCUUCAGUAUCCAAACGAUGCGCAUCCUGUAAUAUUGUCUGAAAGAAAGAUACAACAAGGACCACAGGCAUGGAGAAGCGGUACGACGGUUUAAGGUGUACGAAAGCAAGAUGAAAAUCACGAGAGGCCGGUACAAAUGUGUGCACGCAUGUAUGCAUACGUAAAAUGUACGUUCGUAAAGCACAGUGGUUUAUGAAUACACGAAUUUACUGCUUAAUCAACCGAGGCGCUGAGGCAGCGCAAUUAAAACGCCAUUAAGCGGCCACAUAAAAAUUCUCGGUAAAAUUCGGUGAUAUCGGGUUACUGAAUUUCUCCUUCCAGGCUUCGGGGUUACGAUCUAUAGGAUGCACGGGUUUAUAGUCACCUGGAUCGUGUUAUAGUCAGCCGAGAAUUCUCGAAAUUGUAUAUGGGACACUUUCAGGUCCUCUCGUUUGGUUUCCUUGUUUGAAAUUUUCCUUGAUACACGCGACAGAAAUUUAUUAUUCUGUUAUUUAGUUACAUCAAUUAAAUCGGUUAAUUAAUUGUA
Bombus huntii is the source of this 7996-nucleotide long non-coding RNA. RefSeq lists it as uncharacterized. NCBI's taxonomy places the organism in Eukaryota, Metazoa, Arthropoda, Insecta, Hymenoptera, Apidae. The record is from RefSeq and is a predicted model, not a curated record. The transcript has 3 exons.